GGACGANGAUCACACCGCGAACUUCUAAACCUUUGACGAUUGACCCAUGUUGCCUCGGCGGGUUCUCCCGCCAGAGGAUACAUCAAAACUCCUGUUUUAACGGUGUUGUCUGAGCUACAAGCAACGAAUCAAAACUUUCAACAACGGAUCUCUUGGUUCUGGCAUCGAUGAAGAACGCAGCGAAAUGCGAUAAGUAGUGUGAAUUGCAGAAUUCAGUGAAUCAUCNAAUCUUUGAACGCACAUUGCGCCCCUUGGUAUCCCGAGGGGCAUGCCUGUUCGAGCGUCAUUUCACCACUCAAGCCUGGCUUGGUGUUGGGCGACGUCCCCUUGGGGACGCGCCUCNAAACGCUCGGCGGCGUGGCACCGGCUUUAAGCGUAGCAGAAUCUUUCGCUUUGGAAGUCGGGGCCCCGUCUGCCGGAAGACCUANUCGCAAGGUUGACCUCGGAUCANGCAGGGAUACCCGCUGAACUUAAGCAUAUCAUUAAGCGGAGGAAGCUGGGACGGAAAAUGGCCUCCCGUANGCUCCCAGCUUGCGGUUGGCCCAAACGCGAGUCCUCGGCAACGAAUGGCGCCGUGACGAUCGGUGGUAAUGCUCCUAGCGUGCCUUGUCUCCAGUCGCGCGCGCCCGUUGUCCGUGCGGACCCCCUCGGACCCUUUUGUGCAUCGCUCGAACGAUGCUCGCAUCNCGACCCNGGUCAGGCGGGAUUACCCGCUGAGUUUAGCAUAUC
Molecule: ribosomal RNA, 729 nt
Filed under: uncultured Dothideomycetes
Lineage: Eukaryota; Fungi; Ascomycota; Dothideomycetes
Description: eukaryotic LSU rRNA
Rfam family: 5.8S ribosomal RNA (bases 133-286)
Source: RNAcentral